AGAUGUCAAUGAGUUCCAGAGCAUACUUGCUCGGUACAGGAAGGUACGUUUUCCACUGUCUGUUUUAGGUUUGGGUAGUCUGUAGCUGUCAAUACAUGAAACUGGUUUUGUGGCUAACUUCGAGAACUUCAACGAGGUAGCAAACUCAAGAACAUGGAUUUUCAACGAAGUACGAUUCCACUUUGGCUAAAGUGCAGCACCGGACUAAUAAUCAACGCAACGGACAGAGCGGGUCUUACGCUUGGUGCCACAUUAGAGCACUGCUCGUGUCACAGCGUUGAAUAUCGCAGCCGCAGUGAAACAGUUGCCGUGUGUGCGGCAAACAUAUAACCAGGGUGGGGUAAGAAGCGAUGUACAUCAGUUUUAGAGCCACCAGAGUGAACACAGAACGGAGCCAGUGUGGUACUGGAGUCUUCCAUUACAGCCCCCAGAGUGAACACAGAACGGAGCCACUGCGGGACUGGGGUCUUCCAUUACAGCCACCAGAGUGAACACAGAACGGAGCCACUGCGGGACUGGGGUCUUCCAUUACAGCCACCAGAGUGAACACAGAACGGAGCCACUGUGGGACUGGGGUGAUUUUUGCGCCACGAAAAUACAGGCUAAGAACGAAGAAAAGAAAGGCACAAAUGUAACAUUCUAUUUCAGAAUCUAUAUUCCUUUCCACAGAUAAGAGAUGUACCGAUUUGCCUACCAAUAUAGGUACAUUGUAUACCAUGACUGAUUUUUGGCCUCUAAAUCUAAAUUAAUACUGUUAAUUAUACCGUGCACCAAAUUUCUAUUUUACUGAAUGGAUCUUAAGUCUGGAACAGUCGCAAAAUGAACGACAAAUUCCCUGAACACUUCAAAGGUUGAGGUUCCCUACCGAUGUAGUCACUCCAUCCAUCUCCUAACCAUCAGCGCUCCAAGCGACGAAUGUAGAUAUUGCACUUACCAGACUGCUUACCUACCACUUCCACUCAGGUGGCUGCCAUCGAGAGGUCAGGGCCAUUCAGCAUUCUCUGGCUUUUCGCACAAGACUGGUCUAAUGAAGGCUGAAGGUCUACAGCCAACAGACGACAUACGAGGGCUUCUGGCGGUUGAUUUUUGAACUGCAGUCAAUCUUCAGCUCCAUACGUAUUGCAACUAAAGUCUUUGGAUUUCGUCAGGUAUUUAGAGAACAGGUUCCUGCCAGUCGAAAGAAAGGGCAAGACAACGACAAUAUGGUUUUUAAAAGUUUGUUUUCUUCAGAAUUAUUGACCAACCAAAUUUUGAUACCGACAUGUUUGUGAGCGUUAGAGAAUCGGUAUUCCUGAAUUGAGAUAAAGGGUACAGAAAAAAUUCAACUUUGUACUUUCUAAUGUUUAUGUUAGAAGGACUGAUAGUUAUUGUGUAACCCCAAAUGGAUUUCAAAUUUAAACAAGGCUGCUGCUCCUUCAUUUUUCACAUUGGCGAGUUCCUAGUUUGAGUUGAUGAAAUGCCGCCUGACGCAUGUACGGGGGAAAUCCAGUUAUUAAUCUUCCACACGGAAAAGAAACCAACACAGUUAUCGAAAAUGGUAUGGAUAACCUGUUGUGUAAUCAGUAGCAAAGCUGCCUUGCACUACUACUAGCUAUUUCAAAAAGCAGCAUUCAAAUUACGAUUUCCCCUUUGAACAUACUCUCGCGAGAACAGAUGCAUGGCGAGAAUUCGCGUGACCUUGUAUUAAACGUGUAACCUUGUUUGUAAGGGUUUAUAUUUAGUAAUAAUUGUGAUAUAUAAUCUAAAAGCCAUGACAGUCUUUACAGAUGGACCCUUACUUUUUGGUAAGAGUCAAAAUACAGUUUUGUUACAUCAAGAUAUCUUUUUGCAUAUUUCCAGUCAGGUCCUUGGUAACACGAACGCUAAAGCGGUAGGCAUCUACCAGAAGCACAGCCCGCCUAACGUGCAAUUUCUUACGAGUUCGUAUGGAGGCGGUACUUACCACCGGAUCCCGAAAGAUUGCCCACGUUUUGGCACGUAGACGGCACGGAUUCGCAAGUACGGCGGGUUUUGCCCUUAGCUUUAGCGGGUUGUACGACGUGGAGGAAGGUUCCCAGAUCUACCUACAGAUGACCUGCAAACGGGGCAGGAUCAACGGGGUGGGGGAGGGGCACUUCAGUACUCUGUCUGCACGCUGGAUCAUACCGUAGACUGUUACAUUGUCGUUGUUGCUUUAACAAACUUUGCUUUAACAAUUUGUGUUCGAAUAAUGGGUACGUAGACUAAAAAAUGAACAAAAAUCGUUAUUACGUACACCUUGUCAUACAGGACUAACUACAAUUCUCAGCAAAGUUGAUAAAUACAAAGUUAAAUAAUUUGAAAUGCUUCAGGCUUUCCUCUUUACAGUAAUUAAAUAAAGAAAUAAAUAAAAAA
Branchiostoma floridae (Florida lancelet) is the source of this 2373-nucleotide long non-coding RNA. RefSeq lists it as uncharacterized. NCBI's taxonomy places the organism in Eukaryota, Metazoa, Chordata, Leptocardii, Amphioxiformes, Branchiostomatidae. The transcript has 3 exons. The record is from RefSeq and is a predicted model, not a curated record.